UAUAUACAGUAAAACCCCGAUUAUCCGAAAUGGAAGGGGGAAAGCCUCUUUCGGAUAAGCCGGAUUUAUGGCCGCCAUUUUGAUCGCCGCCAUUUUGAUUUUGAAACCAAACAAACACACGCUACGCUAAACAAAGUAGUAUGCUUAAAAUAUGUGAUGUAAAUGUUUUAUUGUAUGUUUGUCUGUGUGUCUCCUUGUCUGGACCAGUGUAUGUUGAUACUUGAGCGUUGCAGAUCUGAAUUGUGAAUGUUGCAGAGUGCGAUUGUGAAUGGUUGUGCAAGCUUGCAAGUGUGACCUUGAUGCAUCGUGCAGGUGGAGACACAGUAUGAUGACUCAUAUUAUCGCGCAACUCGUAUGUUGGAAGGGGAAUGUGGCAUGGAGUGGAGAGGGGAGUCGUGUUUGUGUCGUUGUCUUGAGAGUACGGUGUGAGAGUAGUCGUGCAGUAGUUUGUUCGUUCGCCGCACCUACGUCCUUGCUGGGGCGAAGGAGGUGGAAGGACGGGGUGAGGAAGGAGGAGGGAGAGCGGGAUGAGGAUUCAGCAGACGACGACGAUGAUGACCAGUGACGCAUCGACAAAGUGAUGCAUGGGUAGUCAAAGGAAGAGGAAGGAGGCAAGUGAGGCAGAGGUGAAAGGAGCAGCUGGUGACGGGAGCGCGGGGUGAGGAAGGACGGCGGCCGACACAGGUGAAAAACAAAUUCAAAUAAAAUGAGAACGUGUGUUUUUGUUGUUUCCGUGUCCUACUAAUGUUUCAUUGAUGACGUCAUCGAUGAAACUUGUGUUAAAUCAAACAUAUCACGUUAGUUAAACGUAUCUCCUUAAAUAUCAACUCGUGUUAAAUCAAAAAUGCGUUAUUUAAACUCUUGUUAAUCGAGAGGCGACUGUAUCUGCCUUCCUGAUGGGGUUUUAUUGAUUAAUUAAAAAUUCAUGAUGAUCGACUGUCAAACUGGAUCAUUGUAAACAUGUGUUCAGUCAAUAUAGUUAACUGAUUUGGGCCUGCAUGCCUCCAAUUCCUAUCAAAAUUCCUCUACAGCACAAUCAAAAGCUGCGUAUCAAGUCAGUUACAAUUAAUUUAGAGUAAAAGGUAUAGUUUUGCAUUAACAAUGAAGUUCAUUUACAGUACAGAGACAAGACUAAAGUCAGGGAUGAAAAUCAAGGAAUGGUAAUUAUAGCCAUGUGAGUUGAGUGCAUCUUUUGACAAUGUUGCCAGACUUUCUUUGGCCAUACAUGGAAAGACAUGGUGAAGAAGAAUCUACAGUAGUAUAUCUCACAGAAUGAGUAAAAAAGAAGUUAAUACAGGUGGAUGGAGGAAAAUUCAUUUAAUGAACUGUUUCUCAGGAACCUAACCCAGCAAACCUGAUUAAAUACUAGAAAAGAAAGAUUGAUUUCAAGAUUAUA
Long non-coding RNA from Eriocheir sinensis (Chinese mitten crab), 1396 nucleotides. RefSeq lists it as uncharacterized. NCBI's taxonomy places the organism in Eukaryota, Metazoa, Arthropoda, Malacostraca, Decapoda, Varunidae. The record is from RefSeq and is a predicted model, not a curated record. The transcript has 3 exons.